Molecule: ribosomal RNA, 497 nt
Filed under: uncultured bacterium
Lineage: Bacteria
Description: bacterial SSU rRNA
Rfam family: Bacterial small subunit ribosomal RNA
Source: RNAcentral
AUGAACGCUAGCGACAGGCCUAACACAUGCAAGGUCGAGGGGCAGCACAAGGAGCAAUCUGAGGUGGCGACCGGCGCACGGGUGAGUAACACGUAUGCAACCUGCCUGUAAGCGGGGAAUAACCCGUUGAAAGACGGACUAAUACCGCAUAAUACUAAAUUACUGCAUGGUAAUUUAUUUAAACAUUUAUGGCUUACAGAUGGGCAUGCGCAUGAUUAGCUAGUUGGAGAGGUAACGGCUCCCCAAGGCAACGAUCAUUAGGGGUUCUGAGAGGAAGGUCCCCCACACUGGUACUGAGACACGGACCAGACUCCUACGGGAGGCAGCAGUGAGGAAUAUUGGUCAAUGGACGAGAGUCUGAACCAGCCAAGUCGCGUGCAGGAAGAAUGUCCUUAAUGGAUUGUAAACUGCUUUUGCAGGGGAAUAAAGUGCAUCACGUGUGAUGUUUUGUAUGUACUCUGCGAAUAAGGAUCGGCUAACUCCGUGCCAGCAGCAGC